CGUGCAGUUAGGAAUUUUGGGCAAUGGGCGAAAGCCUGACCCAGCAACGCCGCGUGGGUGAUGACGGCCUUCGGGUUGUAAAGCCCUUUUCCCAGGGAAGAUGAUGACGGUACCUGGGGAAUCAGCCCCGGCUAACUACGUGCCAGCAGCCGCGGUAAUACGUAGGGGGCAAGCGUUGUCCGGAUUUAUUGGGCGUAAAGCGCUCGCAGGCGGUUCCAUGCGUCGUGCGUGAAAGACCCCGGCUCAACUGGGGAGGGUCGUGCGAUACGGUGGAACUUGAGGCCAGUAGGGGGACGCGGAAUUCCGGGUGUAGUGGUGGAAUGCGUAGAGAUCCGGAGGAACACCAGCGGCGAAGGCGGCGUCCUGGACUGGUACUGACGCUCAGGAGCGAAAGCGUGGGGAGCGAUCCGGAUUAGAUACCCGGGUAGUCCACGCCGUAAACGAUGAGCACUAGGUGUCGGGGGUAUCGACCCCCUCGGUGCCGCAGCUAACGCGAUAAGUGCUCCGCCUGGGGACUACGGCCGCAAGGCUA
RNAcentral lists this ribosomal RNA (532 nucleotides) under uncultured bacterium. Its description in RNAcentral is "bacterial SSU rRNA". It matches the Rfam family "Bacterial small subunit ribosomal RNA", at positions 348 to 896 of the family's 1533-position model. The record is from RNAcentral.